UAGCAUCAGUUCAGUUCUUAUACACAAGUAACUAAACGUCUAGUGCCACCAUGCUGUCUCUCUGUUGCCUUCUUUUUGCGAUUGCUUCAGUUUCUGCUGGACAUGAAACGCAGAUCGUCGGUGGAUCUCAAGCACGAAACUGUGAAUUUCCAUCUAUUGUCCAUCUCUAAAUAUUUAACCAACCCACAGAUGACAGGAUUAGUGUAUGUGGAGGUACUUUGAUUGAUCCUACACAUG
Molecule: long non-coding RNA, 237 nt
Organism: Octopus bimaculoides (California two-spot octopus)
Lineage: Eukaryota; Metazoa; Mollusca; Cephalopoda; Octopoda; Octopodidae
Source: RefSeq, a predicted model, not a curated record